Loxodonta africana (African savanna elephant) is the source of this 164-nucleotide small nuclear RNA. Its record names the gene U1. It matches the Rfam family "U1 spliceosomal RNA". From Rfam's summary of the family: U1 is a small nuclear RNA (snRNA) component of the spliceosome (involved in pre-mRNA splicing). Its 5' end forms complementary base pairs with the 5' splice junction, thus defining the 5' donor site of an intron. There are significant differences in sequence and secondary structure between metazoan and yeast U1 snRNAs, the latter being much longer (568 nucleotides as compared to 164 nucleotides in human). The record is from Ensembl. Lineage: Eukaryota; Metazoa; Chordata; Mammalia; Proboscidea; Elephantidae.
AUACUUACCUGGCAGGGGAGAUACCAUGAUCACGAAGGUGGUUUUCCCAGGGCGAGGCUUAUCCAUUGCACUCGGGAUGUGCUGACCCCUGCGAUUUCCCCAAAUGUGGGAAACUCGACUGCAUAAUUUGUGGUAGUGGGGGACUGCGUUCGCGCUUUCCCCUG